This 512-nucleotide ribosomal RNA is filed under the name uncultured delta proteobacterium. RNAcentral describes it as "bacterial SSU rRNA". It matches the Rfam family "Bacterial small subunit ribosomal RNA", at positions 29 to 523 of the family's 1533-position model. Lineage: Bacteria; Deltaproteobacteria. The record is from RNAcentral.
AACGAACGUUAGCGGCGCGCCUAACACAUGCAAGUCGAACGCGACAGGGGCAACUCUGUUGAGUUGGCGCACGGGUGAGUAACACGUAGGUAAUCUCCCCCCGAGUGGUGGAUAACCCUCCGAAAGGAGAGCUAAUACAGCAUAAGACCACGGAGUCGAAAAGGCUCUGAGGUCAAAAGCGGAGGAUCGUAAGACUUCGCGCUUGGGGAUGAGCCUGCGGCCCAUCAGGUAGUUGGCGGGGUAAUGGCCCACCAAGCCUUAGACGGGUAGCUGGUCUGAGAGGAUGAUCAGCCACACUGGAACUGAGACACGGUCCAGACUCCUACGGGAGGCAGCAGUGGGAAUCUUGCGCAAUGGACGAAAGUCUGACGCAGCGACGCCGCGUGGGUGAUGAAGGCCUUCGGGUUGUAAAGCCCUGUGGGGAGGGACGAAUAAGUUGCAGCUAAUACCUGCAGCGAUGACGGUACCUCCUUAGCAAGCACCGGCUAACUCUGUGCCAGCAGCCGCGGUAA